CAUGAUGGACUAUCAGACAGGACUGCUGCUGUUAACUAUCUGCUGGGCAGGUGUUGAUGGUCAGACUCUGACAGAAUCUGAACCAGUGAUUAAAAGGACUGGAGAAUCUCACAAACUGACCUGUACAGUCUCUGGAUUUGACUUUGGCAGCUACUGGAUGAGUUGGGCCAGACAUGUUUCUGGGAAAGGACUAGAGUGGAUUGCUAUGAUCAAAUAUGACAGUGGUGAGAUCUACUACUCUCAGUCAGUUCAAGGUCAGUUCACCAUCUCCAGAGACAACAGCAGACAGCAGCUGUAUCUGCAGAUGAACAGUCUGAAGACUGAAGAUUCUGCUGUUUAUUAUUGUGCGCGAGGCGCACACAGUUUCACUUCCUGA
This is a non-coding RNA of Plectropomus leopardus (leopard coralgrouper), 376 nucleotides long. The record is from the annotation of a RefSeq genome assembly. NCBI's taxonomy places the organism in Eukaryota, Metazoa, Chordata, Actinopteri, Perciformes, Serranidae.